GGUGGAUGCCUUGGCACUAGAAGCCGAUGAAGGACGUUACUAACGACGAUAUGCUUUGGGGAGCUGUAAGUAAGCUUUGAUCCAGAGAUUUCCGAAUGGGGAAACCCAGCAUGAGUUAUGUCAUGUUAUCGAUAUGUGAAUACAUAGCAUAUCAGAAGGCACACCCGGAGAACUGAAACAUCUUAGUACCCGGAGGAAGAGAAAGAAAAUUCGAUUCCCUUAGUAGCGGCGAGCGAAACGGGAAGAGCCCAAACCAACAAGCUUGCUUGUUGGGGUUGUAGGACACUCUAUACGGAGUUACAAAGGACGACAUUAGACGAAUCAUCUGGAAAGAUGAAUCAAAGAAGGUAAUAAUCCUGUAGUCGAAAAUGUUGUCUCUCUUGAGUGGAUCCUGAGUACGACGGAGCACGUGAAAUUCCGUCGGAAUCUGGGAGGACCAUCUCCUAAGGCUAAAUACUCUCUAGUGACCGAUAGUGAACCAGUACCGUGAGGGAAAGGUGAAAAGCACCCCGGAAGGGGAGUGAAAUAGAACCUGAAACCGUGUGCUUACAAGUAGUCAGAGCCCGUUAAUGGGUGAUGGCGUGCCUUUUGUAGAAUGAACCGGCGAGUUACGAUUUGAUGCAAGGUUAAGCAGUAAAUGUGGAGCCGUAGCGAAAGCGAGUCUGAAUAGGGCGUUUAGUAUUUGGUCGUAGACCCGAAACCAGGUGAUCUACCCUUGGUCAGGUUGAAGUUCAGGUAACACUGAAUGGAGGACCGAACCGACUUACGUUGAAAAGUGAGCGGAUGAACUGAGGGUAGCGGAGAAAUUCCAAUCGAACCUGGAGAUAGCUGGUUCUCUCCGAAAUAGCUUUAGGGCUAGCCUCAAGUGAUGAUUAUUGGAGGUAGAGCACUGUUUGGACGAGGGGCCCCUCUCGGGUUACCGAAUUCAGACAAACUCCGAAUGCCAAUUAAUUUAACUUGGGAGUCAGAACAUGGGUGAUAAGGUCCGUGUUCGAAAGGGAAACAGCCCAGACCACCAGCUAAGGUCCCAAAAUAUAUGUUAAGUGGAAAAGGAUGUGGCGUUGCCCAGACAACUAGGAUGUUGGCUUAGAAGCAGCCAUCAUUUAAAGAGUGCGUAAUAGCUCACUAGUCGAGUGACACUGCGCCGAAAAUGUACCGGGGCUAAACAUAUUACCGAAGCUGUGGAUUGUCCUUUGGACAAUGGUAGGAGAGCGUUCUAAGGGCGUUGAAGCAUGAUCGUAAGGACAUGUGGAGCGCUUAGAAGUGAGAAUGCCGGUGUGAGUAGCGAAAGACGGGUGAGAAUCCCGUCCACCGAUUGACUAAGGUUUCCAGAGGAAGGCUCGUCCGCUCUGGGUUAGUCGGGUCCUAAGCUGAGGCCGACAGGCGUAGGCGAUGGAUAACAGGUUGAUAUUCCUGUACCACCUAUAAUCGUUUUAAUCGAUGGGGGGACGCAGUAGGAUAGGCGAAGCGUGCGAUUGGAUUGCACGUCUAAGCAGUAAGGCUGAGUAUUAGGCAAAUCCGGUACUCNNNNNNNNNNNNNNNNNNNNNNNNNNNNNNNNNNNNNNNNNNNNNNNNNNNNNNNNNNNNNNNNNNNNNNNNNNNNNNNNNNNNNNNNNNNNNNNNNNNNUUAAGGCUGAGCUGUGAUGGGGAGAAGACAUUGUGUCUUCGAGUCGUUGAUUUCACACUGCCGAGAAAAGCCUCUAGAUAGAAAAUAGGUGCCCGUACCGCAAACCGACACAGGUAGUCAAGAUGAGAAUUCUAAGGUGAGCGAGCGAACUCUCGUUAAGGAACUCGGCAAAAUGACCCCGUAACUUCGGGAGAAGGGGUGCUCUUUAGGGUUAACGCCCAGAAGAGCCGCAGUGAAUAGGCCCAAGCGACUGUUUAUCAAAAACACAGGUCUCUGCUAAACCGUAAGGUGAUGUAUAGGGGCUGACGCCUGCCCGGUGCUGGAAGGUUAAGAGGAGUGGUUAGCUUCUGCGAAGCUACGAAUCGAAGCCCCAGUAAACGGCGGCCGUAACUAUAACGGUCCUAAGGUAGCGAAAUUCCUUGUCGGGUAAGUUCCGACCCGCACGAAAGGCGUAACGAUUUGGGCACUGUCUCAACGAGAGACUCGGUGAAAUCAUAGUACCUGUGAAGAUGCAGGUUACCCGCGACAGGACGGAAAGACCCCGUGGAGCUUUACUGUAGCCUGAUAUUGAAAUUCGGCACAGCUUGUACAGGAUAGGUAGGAGCCUUUGAAACGUGAGCGCUAGCUUACGUGGAGGCGCUGGUGGGAUACUACCCUAGCUGUGUUGGCUUUCUAACCCGCACCACUUAUCGUGGUGGGAGACAGUGUCAGGCGGGCAGUUUGACUGGGGCGGUCGCCUCCUAAAAGGUAACGGAGGCGCUCAAAGGUUCCCUCAGAAUGGUUGGAAAUCAUUCAUAGAGUGUAAAGGCAUAAGGGAGCUUGACUGCGAGACCUACAAGUCGAGCAGGGUCGAAAGACGGACUUAGUGAUCCGGUGGUUCCGCAUGGAAGGGCCAUCGCUCAACGGAUAAAAGCUACCCCGGGGAUAACAGGCUUAUCUCCCCCAAGAGUUCACAUCGACGGGGAGGUUUGGCACCUCGAUGUCGGCUCAUCGCAUCCUGGGGCUGUAGUCGGUCCCAAGGGUUGGGCUGUUCGCCCAUUAAAGCGGUACGCGAGCUGGGUUCAGAACGUCGUGAGACAGUUCGGUCCCUAUCCGUCGUGGGCGUAGGAAAUUUGAGAGGAGCUGUCCUUAGUACGAGAGGACCGGGAUGGACAUACCUCUGGUGUACCAGUUGUCGUGCCAACGGCAUAGCUGGGUAGCUAUGUGUGGACGGGAUAAGUGCUGAAAGCAUCUAAGCAUGAAGCCCCCCUCAAGAUGAGAUUUCCCAACUUCGGUUAUAAGAUCCCUCAAAGAUGAUGAGGUUAAUAGGUUCGAGGUGGAAGCAUGGUGACAUGUGGAGCUGACGAAUACUAAUCGAUCGAAGACUUAAUCAA
This 3000-nucleotide ribosomal RNA is filed under the name Staphylococcus aureus. RNAcentral's name for it is "partial 23S ribosomal RNA". It matches the Rfam family "Bacterial large subunit ribosomal RNA". The record is from RNAcentral. Lineage: Bacteria; Bacillati; Bacillota; Bacilli; Caryophanales; Staphylococcaceae.